Bombyx mori (domestic silkworm) is the source of this 1952-nucleotide long non-coding RNA. RefSeq lists it as uncharacterized. The transcript has 2 exons. The record is from RefSeq and is a predicted model, not a curated record. Lineage: Eukaryota; Metazoa; Arthropoda; Insecta; Lepidoptera; Bombycidae.
CGCCAAAUAUAAGUCAACCUUUUUUCCCCUACCUAUUCGCUGGUAUUAAGAUGACUAUUAAGUUGGACGACUAUUAAUUAGGCUAUUCCAGCUACGCCUGGACGGGUAGGUGAGCUCACGGGCUCAACUGAGAAAAUUUGCUAACACUAGCCUUAGCAAGAGCAGUGCUUCGCAGAAUUAUCACUGGAUCAGAAUAGCGACCUACUGAGAAGAUCCGGCAAGAAACUCAGUGGGCUGUGUCUAUGGAAUAAAGCAACCGUUAAAACCACUUCUACACUUCUUCACUUUAUUAUUACAAUUUUGCAUUUAGAAACGUACCUAAACAUAUUUUUAUGAAAAGUAUAUUAGACGUUACUUAGCUUGAUGCUCUAGUUUUAAAUUUUCCAUAAAGUCCUAUUAAGUUACUUAAGAAUUUUGCGUAAAUUACAUGUACAUUACAAAUAGAUGUUUUUUAAGUCUGAAAUUUAAUAUAACAUACAGAUAAACCUGAUUAAGCACAAAUUCAACCAAAAUCUCUUUAGAAAUGCAUUUCAGAAAUACGACAUAAGUUCAGUUGUCCCAAAAUGUUUGUAAUCGAGAAAUCAGCUGUUAGUUCACAUAUCGUGAAUACCAAGUCAUCAAUUUGUACGUUCGACUGUCGCUUAUAGAAAUAAAGAUAACUAGCUAUCAUAUUUAGCUAGCUAUCGUUAUAGAGGUCGACGUGAAAAAAAAACGAGUUUAUUUUAUAGAGGUUUAAAAUGACGGGACCUGGAAACUACUCUCAUUCGUGCAGUGUGUAACUUAUUCAACGCAGAUUUGACUAUAAUGUAUUGUACCAUACACAUUUAUAUACAUUGCCUCGUACCAUAAUAUUCACGGUCCGGGUCCUUUCGUUCACUUCUCUAUUUGCUUAAAUAUAUGAAUGCUUUUAAGUUGCUUAUAAGAGAAAACUGUAGACUUUAGUUCUUUUUUUUUUAAGGUAAAUUUUUUUUGGGACCCGCUUUCUCUUAUUAAUUUAUUACAUCAACCCAUGAAAUCUCGCGGCAGUAAUAAAGGUGGUGAUAACUGGCGUGGGUUGAUAGCACGCCGUAUCAAUACUAUUUAAGCCGAGUGCUAUUAUCAAGGAGAUUUCCACGAACACCUUAUUUUUCAAAGUUAUCAACAUGGAGUUAUAAAAGUAUUAGUGAAUAAAUAUGUACAAAUUUGCGCACCAAUCAUAUGGUCAAUGUACCUUUAGACGCCUAGUGUUACGUAUUGUACGUUAUUGCUGUCAAUUAUCAGACAAUACGAUCACAAUUGUGACAUUGAGAGCGAAUGAUCGCGUGAGACUUUGCUGGCUUGCGCAUGUGUUGUUGGUAAAAUUUGUUCUAACACAUUUUUAUUCAACUAUCAAAAACCAAAAUGUUGAAGGAACGUUUUAUUUUAUUUAGUACCAAUUUUUAAAUGCGAACUGUCAAUAAUCAAUUAACUUUUAAUGUUGGUGUAUAUUUUAAAUAAAUAAAUUAGGUAUUAAUUACAAUCACAUUAAGCAAAUUAACUUCUAUAAUAAACAAAGAAAAUAAAAACUUAUAAGUUAAUCCUGUUCUCUCCAUAAAAUCAACAAGUUCGUUCGUUCAAAACUGUAUAGUUCUGUAUUACCUUGUUGUAUUUAGCGCUAAAUCAGAAGAAUAUUUUCUUGAAAACUUACCUCAAAACCAAAAACGUCAAUAUUCGACAUUUUAUCCCAUUUCGGUGUGCCGUCUGUGCUGAAUCCAUUGAAACCCAUCCCGCAGUUGUUGCAGAUCGCCUCGGACAAUAACCAAGCAUGAUAGUACUUGCAUCGCACAACCAGAGUCGACAAAUAUGCAUACCACAGCAGGUACAAUGCUGACCACGACUGUGACACCUCCGACGUCGGAUCAGUCAAUUCUAUUUAUGUAAAAUACAAAAAUUUUAUGAACUGCAAAUGAAAUCACUACAAAGUAUAAAACAAA